AGAGUUUGAUCCUGGCUCAGGAUGAACGCUGGCGGCGUGCCUAAUACAUGCAAGUCGAGCGAACCACUUCGGUGGGAAGCGGCGAACGGGUGAGUAACACGUAGGUGAUCUGCCCAUCAGACGGGGACAACGAUUGGAAACGAUCGCUAAUACCGGAUAGGACGAAAGUUUAAAGAUGCUUCUGGCAUCACUGAUGGAUGAGCCUGCGGCGCAUUAGCUAGUUGGUGGGGUAAAGGCCUACCAAGGCGACGAUGCGUAGCCGACCUGAGAGGGUGAACGGCCACACUGGGACUGAGACACGGCCCAGACUCCUACGGGAGGCAGCAGUAGGGAAUCUUCGGCAAUGGGCGAAAGCCUGACCGAGCAACGCCGCGUGAAUGAAGAAGGCCUUCGGGUUGUAAAAUUCUGCUAUAAGGGAAGAAAGGUGAUAGGAGGAAAUGACUAUCAAUUGACGGUACCUUAUGAGAAAGCCACGGCUAACUACGUG
RNAcentral lists this ribosomal RNA (487 nucleotides) under uncultured Turicibacter sp. RNAcentral describes it as "bacterial SSU rRNA". It matches the Rfam family "Bacterial small subunit ribosomal RNA", at positions 8 to 507 of the family's 1533-position model. Lineage: Bacteria; Bacillati; Bacillota; Erysipelotrichia; Erysipelotrichales; Turicibacteraceae. The record is from RNAcentral.